This 466-nucleotide ribosomal RNA is filed under the name uncultured bacterium. Its description in RNAcentral is "partial 16S ribosomal RNA". It matches the Rfam family "Bacterial small subunit ribosomal RNA", at positions 28 to 507 of the family's 1533-position model. The record is from RNAcentral.
GAUGAACGCUGGCGGCGUGCUUAACACAUGCAAGUCGAACGGAAAGGCCCAAGCUUGCUUGGGUGCUCGAUUGGCGAAGGGGUGAGUAACACGUGGGUGAUCUGCCCUGCACUUUGGGAUAAGCCUGGGAAAAUGGGUCUAAUACCGGGGAGGACAAUCGGUUAGUGUCGGUGGUGGAAAGGUUGUCGGUGUGGGAUGAGCUCGCGGCCUAUCAGCUUAUUGAUGCGGUAAUGGCUUACGAAGGGGUCGGCGGGUAGCCGGCCUGAGAGGGUGUAAGGCCUCACUGGGACUUAGAGAAGGCCGCGAUUCCGAAGCGAGGAAGAAGUGGGGAAUAUUGACCGAUGGGCGCAAGGCGGAUGAAGAGAGGCUUCGGGGCGGAAAACGCUCUUCGGGUUGAAAACUAUUUUCGCCAAGGACGAAGCGUUUUGUGACGGUACUUGGAGAAGAAGCAACGGCUAACUACGUG